RNAcentral lists this long non-coding RNA (1912 nucleotides) under Homo sapiens (human). RNAcentral describes it as "HSALNT0256379". The record is from RNAcentral. Lineage: Eukaryota; Metazoa; Chordata; Mammalia; Primates; Hominidae.
CCGCUCAGGCCCCCUUCCACAUUGUGGAAGCUUUGUUCUUUCACUCUUUGCAAUAAAUCUUGCUGCUGCUCACUCUUUAGGUUCACACUGCUUUUAUGAGCUGUAACACUCACCGCGAAAGUCUGCAGCUUCACUCCUGAGCCAGCGAGACCACGAACCCACCAGAAGGAAGAAACUCCGAACACAUCUGAACAUCAGAAAGAACAAACUCCAGACGCGCCACCUUAAGAGCUGUAACACUCACCGCGAGGGUCCGCGGCUUCAUUCUUGAAGUCAGUGAGACCAAGAACCCACCAAUUCCGGACACACCAUUGUCUGAGUAAGUUUGGGUGCCAGGACUAUGAGGUCGUGUGAAGACUUCCAGCCCCAUACCUGCAGAACAGUCUGCAGCUCACUCUGCUCUGAACUGCCCCAACUUUGCACAGAUAUUCUCCAUUCCUCGAAAUGAAACUGUAUCCUUCAAAGCUCACACAUUUCGCUUAUUGGCUCAGCGUAGGGAGCAAGUUCUCUAGAUAGCUUACUACCAAAUAAAAUGGUGGAGAAGGGAACCCAGGCAGCUGGGCACAAAAAAGGAAUGAGCAACAAGCUUCCUCUCUGAACAUGAUUUUCUGUGUAAGGUCUUGGACACUCCCUCGACUGCUUCCAGCCAUCUGCCUCAUGCUAGGUUUCUAGUUAAUGUGGAAUGAAAACUCUCACAUCUUCCUUCUAGAUGUAGCUGUGGUAAUUGCAACUUAGGCAGUUGUGCUUGAGAAUCUUCUUCUUAAUACCACAUGGCAAGGUCAUUCCCCAAUGCUUUUAUUUACCUUCACUUGAAUUUUUAUAUUAAACAUUGGAUUGAACAAGAACGGAGAAGAGAAUCACAAUUAUUGUGUAGAUGCUACAUUGUAGUUACAUUUUCUCUUGUAAUUAUUACAGUGCUGGGACUAUUCGAGCUUUAAAAUCCUUUCUGAAGAUCCUAAAGCUACUCAGUGGUUCUGCUGGCAUUAGGGGUUGAUAUGGUUUGGGUCUGUCUGUGUCCCUUCCCAAAUCUCAUGUUGAAUUGUAAUCCCCAAUGCUGGAUGUGGCGCCUGGUGGGAGGUGUUUGGAUCAUGGGGGCGGAUCCCUCAUGGCUUGAUGUGGUCUUCGUGUUAGUGAGUUCUUGCAAGAUAUGGUUAUUUAAAACUGUGUAGCACCUGACCCUCUCUCUCUUGCUCCUGCUUUUGCCAAGUGAUGUGCCCGCUCCCACUUUGCCUUCUAACACGAGUAAAAGCUCCCUGAGGCCUCCCCAGAACCAGAUGCCACUAUGCUUCCUGUACAGCCUGCAGAACCGUGAUCCAGUUAAACCUCUUUUGUUUACAAAUUACCCAGUCUCAGGUAUUUCCUUUUUUUUUUUUUUUUUUUUUGGUCUUAAACUCCAAGCCUCAAGCAAUUCUCCCACCUUGGCAUCCUAAAAUGCUGGGAUUACAGGCAUGAGCCACCAUACCCAGCCAGGUAUUUCUUUAUAGCAACACAAGAGUGGCCUAAUACAGAGGGAUAUUGCCAAUGAUUUAAUAGUAGUCUUCUUUUCUGUAUGUCACUCUGCUUGACUAACCUUAAACAGUCUCUUUAAAUAAUUUGUAAGAUUCACCUAACUACACUUUUCAUAUUGUCCUUCAAUCCUUGCACUUAUGGCAUAAACAUGUUUUAUGAUUAUUAUAUAGGUAUUUAAAUAAUGCAUAUGGGUCCUAUAUUUCUCUAUCAAUGUUAUAAUUUUUACCAGCUACAUAAUUUUGAAUCACAUGUAUAUACCAUCAUUUACCUUCCAUCCAUCCAAAAGAUACGAGAAGGGGAAAGAAAAGAAUAAAAGGGGGUGGCAAAAGAGCUUUAUUUACACACUGGCACAAGGCCCGCCGGGUGUCAGCUGAAGAAGUAGGUGGAACGCUUCACCAGCUCC